Molecule: long non-coding RNA, 1322 nt
Filed under: Bos indicus x Bos taurus (hybrid cattle)
Lineage: Eukaryota; Metazoa; Chordata; Mammalia; Artiodactyla; Bovidae
Description: lncRNA (ENSBIXG00000000231.1)
Source: RNAcentral
AGCUCGGGGGAGGUAAAACCUUCCAGUGUAUACAUAUUGGUAAUAACGUUUAAAUAUAUAUGUAUUUUUUAGAAAAACCAACUUGUGGGGGCCAAAGAAACCUGCUCUCAGGGCACCAGCUUUCAGUCUCUGAGUUUCUCCAUAAACAGAACCACAGAAACGCCAUUCGCCCCCCUGUGGGGGAGGAGAACAGGAGCUCAUGGUCUAAAUCAAAGGAAAAUGAUCAAGGCGCCCAAGUUGGAGGCAGACUCCUGUCGGCUGUCAAGCUGGGCAGGUCAACGUCUGCCAUACAGGUCCCGCAGACAGUGGACCAAAGGCGUGUGGAGGAGCAGGCCCACGUCCUGAUAUUCAGUUCUGUGCACGCAGGCGCCAGGAGCCUGGCACUGGGGGUGAGAAACUCGGGGAAGGGCUUCAGUUCCGUGGCAGUUGUGCACAGGUGCUCUGAGUCACUACAAGGAGCAAUGUUGCAGGACCAACUCCAGACCAGCCACCUGCUCCUGCAAGGUGAGAUGACCGAGGAAUGAGGAUCCUUCCUGAUUUGCAGAAACAAGGUGAUUGAUACGGUGACUUUAAUCACCAAGCAGCUUUAUCUAGAAGAACCACAAAUUGCUCCUCAGCUACUCAGAAAGAGAGGGGCUUGAUGGCCAUCUCUGAGGAUUAGCAACGUGGAGCAUCAGGACAGGUGAGGUGGUGGGGAGGUGGUCAGCAGAGACUCCAGUCCCCAGGGGGCUCCUGAGACACCUUAACUCUCGUAAACUUGUGCUCCUGGAUCUCCUGGGAGUCCUGUUUGAGUCUCUGCCCUUUUUAGUAUUUUUUGGCCACACCAUACAUCGUGUAGGACCUUAUUUCCUGGACCAGGGAUCAAACCCACGCCCCCUGCAGUGGAAGCUUGGAGUCUUACCCACUGAACCACCAGGUAAGCACCCUCCCGCCUGAGUCUCUGCCUUUUGAUAGGAGAGUGGAAGACAUUAACCUUUAUUGUACUGUUUGUUUAGACUUACUUGGCCAUCUUAUUUUAAUUCAUCAUGAUUUCAUUGUGUUACAUUUUUAAAUUGAUCAAAGUAUCUAUUUCAUUUCCCCCCCUCAACUGCUUUGAAAAUUAUGCCUUCUGUCUCUGUUUGCCUAAUGAAUAACUGUAUAUUUUCAACACACAUACUUAGUUUUCUAAUAAUGUUUAUUGUUUAACAGCAUCUCUGUUCCAGCCUGGUCUUUGCGAAAGCUGAUAAAUCCCCGAGGCAGGGAUUAGGGAGUGGGGGAGGGGCCCCAGCACUGUCUCUGUUUCUGCAUAUGACCUUUAUUUAUCCUUAGAGCUGCCUGGAAAG